UACAGAGGGUGCGAGCGUUAAUCGGAAUUACUGGGCGUAAAGCGUGCGCAGGCGGUUGUGCAAGACAGAUGUGAAAUCCCCGGGCUUAACCUGGGAACUGCAUUUGUGACUGCACGGCUAGAGUGCGGCAGAGGGGGAUGGAAUUCCGCGUGUAGCAGUGAAAUGCGUAGAUAUGCGGAGGAACACCGAUGGCGAAGGCAAUCCCCUGGGCCUGCACUGACGCUCAUGCACGAAAGCGUGGGGAGCAAACAGG
This 253-nucleotide ribosomal RNA is filed under the name uncultured bacterium. RNAcentral's name for it is "partial 16S ribosomal RNA". It matches the Rfam family "Bacterial small subunit ribosomal RNA", at positions 524 to 776 of the family's 1533-position model. The record is from RNAcentral.